AUGAACGCUAGCGGGAGGCCUAACACAUGCACGCCGAGCGGUAGAGUCUCUUCGGAGACUUGAGAGCGGCGCACGGGUGCGGAACACGUGUGCAACCUGCCUUUAUCUGGGGGAUAGCCUUUCGAAAGGAAGAUUAAUACCCCAUAAUAUACUGGAUGGCAUCAUCUGGUAUUGAAAACUCCGGUGGAUAGAGAUGGGCACGCGCAAGAUUAGAUAGUUGGUGAGGUAACGGCUCACCAAGUCAGCGAUCUUUAGGGGGCCUGAGAGGGUGAUCCCCCACACUGGUACUGAGACACGGACCAGACUCCUACGGGAGGCAGCAGUGAGGAAUAUUGGACAAUGGGUGAGAGCCUGAUCCAGCCAUCCCGCGUGAAGGACGACGGCCCUAUGGGUUGUAAACUUCUUUUGUAUAGGGAUAAACCUAGAUACGUGUAUCUAGCUGAAGGUACUAUACGAAUAAGCACCGGCUAACUCCGUG
RNAcentral lists this ribosomal RNA (478 nucleotides) under uncultured bacterium. RNAcentral's name for it is "partial 16S ribosomal RNA". It matches the Rfam family "Bacterial small subunit ribosomal RNA", at positions 29 to 507 of the family's 1533-position model. The record is from RNAcentral.